RNAcentral lists this long non-coding RNA (228 nucleotides) under Olea europaea (common olive). Its description in RNAcentral is "long non-coding RNA (OEUR_LNC011742)". Lineage: Eukaryota; Viridiplantae; Streptophyta; Magnoliopsida; Lamiales; Oleaceae. The record is from RNAcentral.
GUGGUCCUAAAGUGAUAAAUUCGCAACUCUCAUAAUUUACGGACUCAGAUAGUCCACUCUGGUAUAUUGGCUUAACUUAUUUUUUAAAUUUCAGCAUUAGCAGAUCAUCGUGUGGGGUAAUCGUUAGGAUUGGGGGUUGUCAUUGCUUGGCAACCAUUGCUUGUGCUAGAAAAUUUAGGAAUUAUUUGCUCUGUUUGUGAAGUGUUGAGUUUUGAUUGCAAGUUGGUA